RNAcentral lists this ribosomal RNA (452 nucleotides) under uncultured organism. Its description in RNAcentral is "partial 16S ribosomal RNA". It matches the Rfam family "Bacterial small subunit ribosomal RNA", at positions 332 to 800 of the family's 1533-position model. The record is from RNAcentral.
UACACUCCUACGGGAGGCAGCAGUGGGGAAUAUUGGACAAUGGGCGCAAGCCUGAUCCAGCCAUGCCGCGUGAGUGAUGAAGGCCCUAGGGUUGUAAAGCUCUUUCACCGGUGAAGAUAAUGACGGUAACCGGAGAAGAAGCCCCGGCUAACUUCGUGCCAGCAGCCGCGGUAAUACGAAGGGGGCUAGCGUUGUUCGGAUUUACUGGGCGUAAAGCGCACGUAGGCGGACUAUUAAGUCAGGGGUGAAAUCCCGGGGCUCAACCCCGGAACUGCCUUUGAUACUGGUAGUCUUGAGUUCGAGAGAGGUGGGUGGAAUUCCGAGUGUAGGGGUGAAAUUCGUAGAUAUUCGGAGGAACACCAGUGGCGAAGGCGGCUCACUGGCUCGAUACUGACGCUGAGGUGCGAAAGCGUGGGGAGCAAACAGGAUUAGAUACCCUAGUAGUCCCAUGA